Molecule: ribosomal RNA, 506 nt
Filed under: uncultured bacterium
Lineage: Bacteria
Description: partial 16S ribosomal RNA
Rfam family: Bacterial small subunit ribosomal RNA
Source: RNAcentral
AUUGAACGCUGGCGGCAGGCCUAACACAUGCAAGUCGAACGGUAACAGAAAGCAGCUUGCUGCUUUGCUGACGAGUGGCGGACGGGUGAGUAAUGUCUGGUAAACUGCCUGAUGGAGGGGGAUAACUACUGGAAACGGUAGCUAAUACCGCAUAACGUCGCAUGACCAAAGAGGGGGACCUUCGGGCCUCUUGCCAUCGGAUGUGCCAAGAUGGGAUUCGCUAGUAGGUGGGGUAACGGCUCACCUAGGCGACGAUCCCUAGCUGGUCUGAGAGGAUGACCAGCCACACUGGAACUGAGACACGGUCCAGACUCCUACGGGAGGCAGCAGUGGGGAAUAUUGCAGAAUGGGCGCAAGCCUGAUGCAGCCAUGCCGCGUGUAUGAAGAAGGCCUUCGGGUUGUAAAGUACUUUCAGCGAGGAGGAAGGUGUUGUGGUUAAUAACCACAGCAAUUGACGUUACUCGCAGAAGGAGCACCGGCCAACUCCGUGCCAGCAGCCGCUGUAA